Molecule: long non-coding RNA, 4207 nt
Filed under: Volvox carteri
Lineage: Eukaryota; Viridiplantae; Chlorophyta; Chlorophyceae; Chlamydomonadales; Volvocaceae
Description: long non-coding RNA (VCAR_LNC001982)
Source: RNAcentral
CAGCAGCUCCUCUCCGUCCCCCUUAGGAGUGUACCUAAAGCCCGGAGGCAAAGGGGUAGACCUCGGCUUGGCGUCAAUCAUCCUAUGACGCUCCAACAGCUGCGCAAUAUACCUAUGUUGCGACAACACUAUCUCACCCGACUUCUCCCUCCUAAUUUCCAUGCCCAAAAACACCUUCGCUUCUCCAAGGUCGCGCACCUUGAAGACCUUCGCAAUUGCGGCUUUAAUUGCCCGGACCAUUUCCGGGUCUUCCGACGCAACAAUUGUAUCAUCUACGUGCACCAAAGCAAUAACAACCCCACGCUCGUCCGUCUUAACAAACAUCGCCGGAUCAGACUUCGAAGGAUAAAGACCUAGUUUGGCGAACUCUGCUGAUAGCUUUUCAUACCAGCAACGGGGUGCCUGCUUCAAUCCGUUAUUGGAGAAUUGGCGACGGUGACGGCUAACGCUGAUUGUUAUUCCGGAAGGAUUGCCGGUGGCGAAGAUAUUUAGCACGAUAAAAUGUUACAAGUAAUGUAAAGAGUAUUGUUAGCGUUCGGCAGGACUUGAGGAGAUUCCUGGUAGGAAUACCGAUCGUUGUGAGAUAAACUAAUAGGCGCAGUCACCGCCCUAAAUACCGGCGCUAGCGGAAAACUCGUACAUUCCGCGAUCUAACUGUACGUACAUUCCGCGAUCUCACUGCGCCGUCCAGACGGUGCCCUAAUGUCUAUCACUUAGCUACCGGAUAUGCAUCGGUAGCCCCAUAAGGUUCUGGGGUAAGUCUUCCCCAUUAGUCAGGCGCAGACCCGGGGUCAAAUCCCCUGGUCGACAACCACACGAGUUGGGAGAGGACCGUUUCCUCAACACGCCCCCUCGGGCCGUAUCCCAACGAGUACCAAGUUCAUCUGCACAUCUCACACAAGGCCCAUAGCAUCUCGGCAACGUUUGAACUUCACCUCGCCCAGAGCCUUCGUUAGCACAUCCGCUACCAUCCACUCUGUAGGGCAGUAUUCCAACUGCACCUCACCGCUAUUCACCCUCUCACGCACUAUGUGAUGCUGCACGUCGAUGUGCUUCGACCGAGCAGACGNNNNNNNNNNNNNNNNNNNNNNNNNNNNNNNNNNNNNNNNNNNNNNNNNNUCGGUAGCACCCCGGAACAUUACCCCAGAACAACCAAAACGGAAAGCACCUGCUCGCAAGAAAAGGUGACGCUCCCGGGACGGUUCGCUUCUGAGGGGGAGGGAUGUAGCAAGCUACAUUUACCUUAGAAUAUCUUUAAGCUAUUAAGGCUUAAUCACAGUAACGGUACGGUCCCGUAUUUACGAACCAUACUCGUUAACUGUACGAACUCACUUUCUGGUACGCUAUCACAACCUAGCGUACGACACCAAGACUCCAGGAAUGGAGAUGGCGGCAGGUGGGCCGCAUUUAAGCCACCCAGGUGAAGUGCUUCGGCCAGACACUUCUGUAUCACUAUACUAGUGUUCAGGGUUCAAGACCUUGCUGUCACCGUUCUCGACCUAUGUCUUCGAAUCCCGACUUCCCUUGUCUCUUCUCGCGCCUAACUCUGGGUCGUCAAUCGUGGACGAGACCCUCCGUAAGAGACGGCUGUUACACAUCCUCAUAAUUUCCAUGCCCGAAAACACCUGCGCUUCUCCAAGAUCUCGUACAUCUCGUACACCUUUGCAACUAGCUAUGCAAAAGAGCGCUUGACACUGUCAUUUUCCAGUGUUUUCAAUUUGUACACCCACCGGUACAGUAGCACAUGCACAUCAAGAGGCUGUGCACAUCGCGCACAAAUGCCGUUAGCUGCUAAUGCAGCAAUCUCCUCGACCAUCACUCUGCGCCACUCAUUUACAUUUGCACCUGAAAUGGCUUCAGUGAAAGUAUUACUCAGCAAAAAAACAAAAGUUCAGCAGGGUACGGAUAAGUGACAGCCAUGUUAAUGCGACCUACUAUCCUCCUUCCUGCAACACCAUGCCACCACUCCGAGGGCAAUAAUAUCUUCUCAUAUUCCCUGCCCUAUUCUUCUGAACUCCUGCGCUGGCUUGCACCACUAGAUGUUCCGGCUUCAUCCGGCAUUCCUUCACCAUCCACAGGUGACAGUGGUGCCUAGCCGACUGUGGUUCCUGAGUCUACCAGAGCUUACGGAGGCCCUGACUCAGGUACACCAAUACUAGCCGCUUCGGAGUCAGACAAUUCCCCUUAAACAAGAUAGUUGCUCUUUUCUUGAAGCAAAAAUACAUGGCAUCACUGCACUGCCGCGACCGCCUGUCUGUUGAGGCAUGCACCCCACCUGCCACAUGCGGGUGCCAAGACCACCUCCACUCCUUCCCUGCACGUUAGGCUGCGGCUCUCUCUUCAACUCCGAGCUUCAACUCCGGGCCCGUCUGUUGGUAGUUGCAGCAAAUGAUCGCCUGCUGCAAUCCAUGCUAUCCAGCGGGGUCUAAAUUUUGGUAUCGAUGAUCAUUUGUUCGGUCCUCGCCUCACUUUGCGCCNNNNNNNNNNNNNNNNNNNNNNNNNNNNNNNNNNNNNNNNNNNNNNNNNNCGAACGUCGAACCGCCGACAGACGCGAAGGCUGCCGACUCGGUAGGCUUGCCCGACCCACCGUUAGCCGUCUCGAUAGAGAGAAGCUUUGCUGUGACGCUCGCCAUGUCCAAAUCGCCGUCGCGCAUAAGUAAUGUAGUCGUCACCACGCUGUACCGACUGGGUAGACCAACUAGCACGGUGUACGCCAGCUCGGAGUCGUUAACUACGUGGCCGACUCCCAAUAAAUCUGUUUGCAGCUGCCUUGCACGCGCAAAGUACAUCGGAAGAGGUUCGCCGUCGACCAUCUUAAAACGGCUGAAUUCUUGACGUAGAGACACCUUGCGGGCGUUGUUGUUGGCAGCAAACAUAGAUCCCAAGGCGUCCCAGGCCUUCUUCGCGUUGGCAGCACCGGUAACCAUCGGCAGAUGAUGAUCCUUGAUAUUCUUGAUGAGUAGAUUGAUGACCUUCCGUGACUGUCGAACUUGCUCCUCGUUGCACGGCUCGGCGAGCAGGGAUUGCUCAAGCCCAAGCUCCAUGCACAACGCGCUGAACCGAAUUUGCCAGGUAGAGUAGUUGUUGAGAUCCAGCGACUCAUCAAGUUUGUCCUUAACCAUUUUCGAUGAGGGAUAGAAAUAACAAUUUGGCGAUAACUGUCGGCGCUAAGCGGGGCUCAUAACCUAUUGGAGAAUUGGCGACGGUGACGGCUAACGCUGAUUGUUAUUCCGGAAGGAUUGCCGGUGGCGAAGAUAUUUAGCACGAUAAAAUGUUACAAGUAAUGUAAAGAGUAUUGUUAGCGUUCGGCAGGACUUGAGGAGAUUCCUGGUAGGAAUACCGAUCGUUGUGAGAUAAACUAAUAGGCGCAGUCACCGCCCUAAAUACCGGCGCUAGCGGAAAACUCGUACAUUCCGCGAUCUAACUGUACGUACAUUCCGCGAUCUCACUGCGCCGUCCAGACGGUGCCCUAAUGUCUAUCACUUAGCUACCGGAUAUGCAUCGGUAGCCCCAUAAGGUUCUGGGGUAAGUCUUCCCCAUUAGUCAGGCGCAGACCCGGGGUCAAAUCCCCUGGUCGACAACCACACGAGUUGGGAGAGGACCGUUUCCUCAACAUCCGUAAAUAGACUUCUGCAGCUUGCACGCAAGCGACCGGUCACUGGAUGCAUACCCAGGCGGUUGCUCCAUCCACAACUCCUCCUUCAGCUCACCAUUCAGAAACGCAGUAGACACAUCGAGCUGAUGUACCGUCAUGUUCCGGGCUGCGGCAACUGCUAAUAAAGCACGCAAUGACGAACCACGAGAGGUAGGGGCAAACAACUCCCCAUAAUCAAUCCCCUCACGUUGCUCGAAACCCUUGGCAACUAAACGCGCCUUAAAACGCUCCACGCUGCCGUCAUCGCUGUACUUAACCUUAUAUACCCAACGACACGGCAACAAACGAGUACCAGGAGGUGGCGUCUUCAGCUCCCAAGUACUGUUAGCCAUCUGGGCGGCGAUCUCCUCGUCCAUCGCACGCCGCCAGUCGUCUGCAUGUGGACUAGCAAUUGCUUCCUCAAACGAAUUAGGCUCAGGAAUACCAGCAGAGAAAGCAGCGUUAACGCGACCAGUGACAGUGCGACCAGGUUCGUUUCGCCACCAUUCGCCAGGGCGUUUACGCUCUCUAACUGGGUACCUAGUUCCCGCCAUUUCCACAUCANGCUGAUUG